RNAcentral lists this ribosomal RNA (200 nucleotides) under uncultured bacterium. RNAcentral describes it as "partial 16S ribosomal RNA". It matches the Rfam family "Bacterial small subunit ribosomal RNA", at positions 1301 to 1500 of the family's 1533-position model. The record is from RNAcentral.
CAGGCUGCAACUCGCCUGCAUGAAGCUGGAAUUGCUAGUAAUCGCGGAUCAGCAAGCCGCGGUGAAUACGUUCCCGGGCCUUGUACACACCGCCCGUCACACCAUGAGAGUCGGGAACACCCGAAGUCCGUAGUCUAACCGCAAGGGGGGCGCGGCCGAAGGUGGGUCCGGUAAUUGGGGUGAAGUCGUAACAAGGUAUC